RNAcentral lists this ribosomal RNA (761 nucleotides) under bacterium enrichment culture clone Co2. RNAcentral describes it as "bacterial SSU rRNA". It matches the Rfam family "Bacterial small subunit ribosomal RNA", at positions 385 to 1151 of the family's 1533-position model. The record is from RNAcentral.
GAUGCAGCGCCGCCGCGUGAGGGAUGAUGGUCUUCGGGUUGUAAACCUCUUUCAGGAGGGGCCCUCCGCAAGGUGACGGUACCUGCAGAAGAAGCGUGGAAAAGUAAAUGCCAGCAGCCGCGGUAAUACGUAGGGCGCAAGCGUUAUCCGGAAUUAUUGGGCGUAAAGAGCUCGUAGGCGGUUUGUCGCGUCUGCCGUGAAAGUCCGGGGCUCAACUCCGGAUCUGCGGUGGGUACGGGCAGACUAGAGUGAUGUAGGGGAGACUGGAAUUCCUGGUGUAGCGGUGAAAUGCGCAGAUAUCAGGAGGAACACCGAUGGUGAAGGCAGGUCUCUGGGCAUUAACUGACGCUGAGGAGCGAAAGCAUGGGGAGCGAACAGGAUUAGAUACCCUGGUAGUCCAUGCCGUAAACGUUGGGCACUAGGUGUGGGGGACAUUCCACGUUUUCCGCGCCGGAGCUAACGCAUUAAGUGCCCCGCCUGGGGAGUACGGCCGCAAGGCUAAAACUCAAAGGAAUUGACGGGGGCCCGCACAAGCGGCGGAGCAUGCGGAUUAAUUCGAUGCAACGCGAACAACCUUACCAAGGCUUGACAUGAACCGGACCCGCUGCAGAAAUGUGGUUUCCCCCUUUGGGGCUGGUUUACAGGUGGUGCAUGGUUGUCGUCAGCUCGUGUCGUGAGAUGUUUGGGUUAAGUCCCGCAACGAGCGGCAACCCUCGUUCUAUGUUGCCAGCACGUGAUGGGCGGGGACUCAUAGGAGACUG